AUUGAACGCUGGCGGCAGGCUUAACACAUGCAAGUCGAGCGGUAACAUUUCUAGCUUGCUAGAAGAUGACGAGCGGCGGACGGGUGAGUAAUACUUAGGAAUCUACCUAGUAGUGGGGGAUAGCACGGGGAAACUCGUAUUAAUACCGCAUACGACCUACGGGAGAAAGGGGGCAACUUGUUGCUCUCGCUAUUAGAUGAGCCUAAGUCGGAUUAGCUAGAUGGUGGGGUAAAGGCCUACCAUGGCUACGAUCUGUAGCUGGUCUGAGAGGAUGAUCAGCCACACCGGAACUGAGACACGGUCCGGACUCCUACGGGAGGCAGCAGUGGGGAAUAUUGGACAAUGGGGGAAACCCUGAUCCAGCCAUGCCGCGUGUGUGAAGAAGGCCUUUUGGUUGUAAAGCACUUUAAGCAGUGAAGAAGACUCCGUGGUUAAUACCCAUGGACGAUGACAUUAGCUGCAGAAUAAGCACCGGCUAACUCUGUGCCAG
Molecule: ribosomal RNA, 490 nt
Filed under: uncultured bacterium
Lineage: Bacteria
Description: bacterial SSU rRNA
Rfam family: Bacterial small subunit ribosomal RNA
Source: RNAcentral